GUGGCAGCUGUAGACGUAGUGAUGGCCUCAAGGAAGUGGCCAUGACCCUUUUUGGGGCUCGUCUGUCAGACAGGUCUGUGGCAUUUGACCUCAGGGGGCUGAGAGUGCACCGAAAUGGCACUAUAGGUGCCCUCAGGCUGGUGGUUAUUCUUCCUUUAUGGGGCUUGGUUUCCCCUCUUGUGGACUGAAGCAGUUAGACAAGAUGAUUCCAAGAUUUCUGUGAAGCCCUCUUCCAGGAAAUGACACCUUCACUUAGCUUUUGGACCACUUCUUUUCAGCUCUUGUGGUUCCUCCGCGCCCCCCCCCCAUCUUUGUUCGCAUUCAAUUCACAGCUGUUAAUCACUUGUCAUGCACCAGACAGUGUGCUAGGUGCUGGGGAUGUGGUAUGAGCAAGACAGAUACCAGUUCCUCAUGAAGCUCACCUUCUAAAGUGAUAAGUAAUGCAAAGGUAAACAAAAGAGUAACAAAAUAAUUUCAGGUAGCAGUAAGUGCUAUGAAGGAAUAAGAUAAAUAGCUGUGGAAAAGAAUGAAAAAGGGGGAGAACCUCCAGUUGAGUGGUUCAGAAAGUCCCUCUGAGAAAAAAACAGUAAGAACAAAGGUCCUAAGGCAUGAGAGAGCUUGGUAAGAUUGAGGAAGGAGGCCAGGGUAGCUCUGGAAUUUCAUCUGAAAAAGAAUGGGAGCAGUCCUAAGACUUAGCCCUCACACCUUUCUUGGGAUCUCACUGCUCCUGCAGCCUCAGUUCUUCAUUCUUCCACCCAACUCCAGCCUCCGCCCAUCACAUCCUUAAGAGGGCUCGCCCAGGCACAUUCAUACCACGCUUCGAACUGUGCAGAACACCAACCCCAACCCCAACCCCUGCCAUCUUCCAGGCCAGCCUGGUAUAGGUCUCUGGUUCCAAAAAGCUUUCUGUCUCUACUGUUCACUGGUUAUCGAGUCUCCAAAGACCAGUUCAGUUAUCUUCAAUACUUAUUCUUCUUGACCCUCUACUGCACAACUCUCAGGCUAAAGCCCCUUCAAACAACAAUAACAACAGCCACAAUCACAGUUAAAAUGUUCACAGUACUUGUUCCGUGCCAUUCACUGAAUGUUCAGCACCUUAUUUAAUCCUCAGCCGGAUGAGGUAGGAGCUAAAAGUAUCCUGUAGUACAGACCAGUAAAUUGUAGUUCAGAGAGAUUAUAGGACAUGCCCAAGGUCACAUACAAGAGAUGGAGCUUGCAUUCUAGCCUGGGCCAUAGGCACUGCCCUAAGAACCUAAGCAUGUCGACUUUCUAUUGUUGCUUAAGCAAACACUCCAAAAUAGAGUGGCUUAAAACAGCAGUACUCCGCCUCCCCCCACCGCCGCCCCCCCAUAAGUGGCAGGUGGAAAUUCGUGGGCCAGGGAUCAAACCCACGCCACAGCAGCCACCCAAGCUGCUGCAGUGACCAUGUCAGAUCCUUAACCUGAUAGGUCAUCAGGGAACCCCAACAACUGUAAUUUUUUUGCUUAUGUUUGCAUAGAUUGGCAGUUUGGCCAUGUCUCAGGUGGAAUAGCUCUUUUCUGCUAUAAGUGGUCUUGCCUGGGCUUACUCCUAUAUUUGCAGUCAGUUAGCAUGUUGGCAAGCUUACUGGUCCUAUAUGGCCUCAUGCACAUGUCUCCCAGGUGGCUGGGUCUGCUGGCUUGAGUGCCUGGGUUCUUCUCCAUGUGGCUUCUUUAGCAGACUAGCUCAGGCUUCCUCGUGAUGGCCUCCAAAAGGAAAAAAACUAAAGCAGCAAGGCCUCUUGAGGCCUAGGCUCAGAAGUGCUGUAGCAUCACUUUCAUUGCAUUUUAUUGAGCUGGCCUGUCACAUGGCCAGCUCAGAUUCAAGAAACAGAUUCUGUCUCUUGAUAGAAAAAAACAUCAAAGUCGUAUUGCAAGGAGUUAUAUGAGGAUGUGUGAGCAUGGGGGGUGGAUCAUUGUGACCAUCUUGGUAAACAACAUAGCACACUAAGUGACCGUGGGUACAGAACUGGUUAAGCAAAUUGUGGUAGAGCUAAACAUGGAGCUCUUGAUAAGGAGAGCUAAUAUGCACUUACUAUAUGUCAGACACUACACAAGAUGCUUUAUGUGUGUUCACUCAUUUAGUCCUCACAGCAGCUCUGUGUGACAGGUACAUGUUUAUCCCCUUCCAGAGAUUAAGCACAGCAAGCCUCAGAGAGGUGUACCACGUGUGCGAGGUCACACAGCUAACAAGUGGCAAAGCUCUUAAAAAGGAUGAAGACUGGAGAUCCUGUUGUGGCUCAGGGGGUUAAGAACCCGACAUAGUAUCCAUGAGGAUGUGGGUUCAAUCCCUGGCCUUGCUCAGUGGGUUAAGGAUCAGGUGUUGCCAAGAGCUGUAGUGUAGGUCACCAAUGUGGCUUGAAUCCGGCCUUGCUGUGGCUGUGGAUGUAGGCCUCAACUGCAGCUCUGAUUCGACCCCUAGCUUGGAAACUUCCAUAUGCUGCAGGUGCAGCUGUAAAACAAACAAACAAAAAAAGCAAAAGACGGGAUGAGGACCAUUGAUUUCUAGGCAUGGAAAGCUCUCCUUGCGUACUAUUAUAGGAUAAAAAGCAAGAGACGAAAGUUUGAUGAGAACACAUUUUAAAAAAAAAAAUUUUUUUUUUUUUUUUUGCCUUUUAGGGCUGCACCUGCAGCAUAUGGAAGGUCCCAGGCUAGGGGUUGAAUUGGAGCUGCAGCUGCAUGUCUAUGACACAGCCACAGCAACUCGGGAUCUGAGCAGCAUCUGUGACUUACAUCACAGCUCACAGCAACACUGAAUCCUUAACCCACAGAGCAAGAGUUGAAGCCCUCAGGAAUUGAACCUCAUCCUUAUGGACACUGGGGGAUUCGUAACACAUUGAGCCACAAAGAGAACUCCCAAAAAACACACUUUAAAUUGGGCAUAUGUAUAUUUAGACAAAGUUCAGGAAGGAUUUACCACAAACUCUUAAUGGAGGUAAUUCAGAAGAGGAAGAGUUCCUGUUGUGGCUCAACGGUUAACGAAUCCAACUAGGAACCAUGAGGUUGAGGGUUUGAUCCCUGGCCUUGCUCAGCGGGUUAAGGAUCUGGCGUUGCCGUGAGCUGUGGUAUAGGUUGCAGACAUGGCUCAGAUCCCAUGUUGCUGUGGCUCUGGCGUAGGCCGGCAGCUGCAGUUCCGAUUUAACCCCUAGCCUGGGAACCUCCAUAUGCCGCAGGAGCGGCCCAAGAAAUGGC
This 3209-nucleotide long non-coding RNA is filed under the name Sus scrofa (pig). RNAcentral describes it as "lncRNA (ENSSSCG00000062202.1)". The record is from RNAcentral. Lineage: Eukaryota; Metazoa; Chordata; Mammalia; Artiodactyla; Suidae.